GUGGUUAUCCCCAAGCAUGUUAAACCUAACGCCCUAAACUCACUAAAAUGUAUAUGAAGAUGUAUACUACGAGUUGUGUAUUUAUAUACAAAUGACAUAGUAAAAGUUCUAUGUUAAUUAUAAGAAGGAAAGGAGGUAAGAUAGGAAUAAGGAAUAAGAAUACUAUCUCAUGCUUUUU
Molecule: non-coding RNA, 178 nt
Submitted as: unclassified sequences
Source: Rfam